UACGGGGGGGGCAAGCGUUGUUCGGAAUUACUGGGCGUAAAGGGCUCGUAGGUGGCCAACUAAGUCGGACGUGAAAUCCCUCAGCUUAACUGGGGAACUGCGUCCGAUACUGGAUGGCUUGAGUUUGGGAGAGGGAUGCGGAAUUCCAGGUGUAGCGGUGAAAUGCGUAGAUAUCUGGAGGAACACCGGUGGCGAAGGCGGCAUCCUGGACCAACACUGACACUGAGGAGCGAAAGCCAGGGGAGUAAACGGG
This 253-nucleotide ribosomal RNA is filed under the name uncultured bacterium. RNAcentral's name for it is "partial 16S ribosomal RNA". It matches the Rfam family "Bacterial small subunit ribosomal RNA", at positions 524 to 776 of the family's 1533-position model. The record is from RNAcentral.